Molecule: non-coding RNA, 1290 nt
Organism: Jatropha curcas
Lineage: Eukaryota; Viridiplantae; Streptophyta; Magnoliopsida; Malpighiales; Euphorbiaceae
Source: RefSeq, a predicted model, not a curated record
GUAAAACCACAACGCAAAUAUCUGAACUGACCUUGGUUUAGAUAAUCGUAAAAAGCUCCUUAUCAGCUAUAUAUCCUACUGCCCUUCUCCUUAGCAGAGUUCUAAACAUUUAGGAAAAUAAUAGAAAGAAGGAGGGUCAGUGUCUUAUUCAGGAUCUAAUGAAUAGAAUUUCCUAACAAAACAUGAGUAAUCAAAUAGAAGGAAGAGGAUACUCUCUAGAAGAACCAGAUGCAAGCUCAGAAACCACAAAGAAGAAGAAGAAGCACACCACCAAUAACAAGAGAAGGUUUAGUGAUGAACAGAUCAGGUUACUGGAGUCAAUUUUUGAAUCAGAGACCAAGCUCGAGCCUAGGAAGAAGUUACAAUUGGCAGGAGAACUCGGACUUCAACCUCGCCAGGUUGCUAUAUGGUUCCAGAAUAGAAGAGCUAGGUGGAAGUCAAAGCAGAUUGAGCAAGAAUACAAAAACUUAAGAGCUAAUUAUGACAAAUUAGCAUCUUGUUUUGAGUCCUUGAAGAAUGAAAAACAGUCCUUGCUUAUUCAGGUACCUUUCUUAUUAGUUCAUAUUCAUAAUAUCCUCGAACAGGGGAAUCCUCUUUUCGACUCUGAUUCCCACUCCAGUCAUUGCUUUUCUUUCUGUUACUUCGAAAUUUUUUUUUUUCCUUUCUUCCAACAGUUGCAGAAGCUAAACCAACUAUUAGGUCAACCUUGUGAAGGAGAUAGGACUUGCAAGACUGCCAUUGAUUCAGACAAUGGGAACAUAAAUAGUGAUAAUGAAGCACAACAAGGACUAGACAAUAGAGUAUUCAUGUGUUCAGAAAUGAAUAACAGCAGAGAGGAAUACACAGAUGGCUCAUUAGCUUCACCUGAUCAAUGGUACAGUUUUCAUUCAGCUAGUCAGUUUGAUCUGUCAUCUAGCAGCUCACAGUGGUUCAAUUUCUGGGCUUGAAGAUUUGGUAUUUGCUCAGUUUCUACCUUCCUAUGUUGGAUUUAUAUACAUAGAAAAAAAAGUUGAGGUCAGAAUGAGAAGCCUGAGGAUGCCAAGUACAGGGUGGAUUACAAUCUUGCGUUGAUCUAACCAAAAAAAGUUGAUAGUCACUACAUAAUUCAUGCCAGAUGCUUACAGUGGAUUAUGCAUCCAUGCAUGAUAGAAAGCCAAGAAGUGAAACCUAGAAGAACAGAGCACAAGACUCAAUAAAGUUUUAUUGAUUUGAAAUGCUAUGAGCCCCGAUUUCCUGUCAAGUUUAAUUCCAUGUUUGAUAUAAAUGAAUUCUAUAAUUUUUUUUCUUUUA